GUGUUUCUUUCCCCAAACAACGUGAGUGUAAAGACGUCUGCUGUAAAGUUUUCAGUGAAUGUGUUUAAGUAAGCACUGCCGGUGGGUGACCUUUGUUUGUGUAACUUGCUUGUGUAACAUGAAUGUCAGCGGGCUGUAACGAGUAGCUUCCUCAGAGUCAGGUAGGUGCCGUAUUGCUAGUUAGCUGAAAGCUACCGGUGGCGUUGGAAAUGUUUUCCAGAGUGAUUUUUGCGACGAGUCUGGUCAGAUUUAACACUGGUGCCAACUCCAGAGCGGCUAUAAGAGCACUGACUCCUCUGUGCAAACAUCAGCAUCGGUCCUACAGCUCUGAGUCUGCUGGUGUCAGGGUGCUGUAUGAUGGUCUUUGUCCUAUAUGUGUGACAGAGAUCCGGUUACUUCAGUUUCUGCAGAGAAGCCGGUCUGGAAAAGUACAAUUUAUCGAUAUCUCCCUGCCAGACUAUGAUGGAGCAAGAUACAAGGAUGUAACCUAUGAGAUGGCCAUGGAGGAAAUGCAUGUGAUUGAUGAGAAAGAUGAGGUUCACAAAGGGGUUCCUGCAUUUGCCGUCAUGUAUGGAGCAGUGGGCCUCGGCUGGUUGGGUUGCUUCAUGAUGUGGUCCCCUGUCAGGCCAUUAAUGGACAAAUCUUACGCCAUUUUUGCCAGGAACCGCCUGAAGUGGACUGGGCGUGGGGAGGAGUGUGCAACAGGACGCUGUGAAAAGAAAACACAGUGACUCUUAAGCCACCGAAAGAUUACGUAUGUUUAAUAAAUAAAGGGAUUAGGUUGUCUGUUUACUCAACACUUAAUUCAGCAAAACAAGUGUUUUAUUUUAAAUUUAGCAUAAAAUAUUUAAUUUAUAUUGCUAAAGACACAUAUUGCACUGAGAAAAAUCUACUCUGCUGUGUUAAUCUCUCUUAAAAUAUAACUGAACACUCCUAAAAAAAACUGAUAUUGCCCUUUUCCCAGGACUUUGUGAUCAGCAGUCCAGGCUUGUGCUCUCAUCAGCUUCGCUCGACAUUUCCUUCUCCUAGAAACAUUGGUAAGAUGACACAUAAUCACACAAAAAAACUGGAUAAAGGAAAAAGUUCCAACAAAUGUUGCUGCACAGUGAAAGGGCCUUCCUGUGAAAGACGGGGAGUAAUUGUAUAUUGUGUAAAAGACUGUCAUUUUGGCAAAUAUACAGCACAGAGAUAAGACAGAAAAUCGCUCAAGCAAAAUGCAGCCAAUUUCCUGUCAGUGUAUCAGAUGGAGGUUCAUAUCGAAGCCAGAUAGCUUCAUUCAAUCUGUCGUGUUGCUGCCACUAGAUGUCACUGUAAAACCAAAACUGGUGAAGUGUGGUGAUGUUUUGUGAUGGAUGCUGGUGGGAACAGAUAGUGACAAUCUUUAACUUCACAUGAGCCCCUGCUGUUAUGAGCAUCAACAAGACAGGCUCAUCAACAACACACAGCAGUGCCAAACAGCAUGUGCUGGUUUGUGCUCUAUGGUAGAGGACAGGGUGAUUUACAUACACUCACUGAAACAACUGUAAAUCACUGCAAUCAUUCAUGUUCAGAAAGCUAAAAAAAGAAAUACUGUUCCACAAGUAGAGGACAAAAAACAUUUAGGGGUUCUUUUUUUGGUUUGGAAUCAAUUUAUUAAUUAUAGGGCACACUUUUUCUGUUUUUUGUUUGGGACAAAAUGUAAAUAAACAAGCUGCAAUGAUGCAAAUCAACUGGUUUUAAUUAAGACUGUAUUUAGAACCUGCAUAUUUACAAAAAACG
This is a long non-coding RNA of Parambassis ranga (Indian glassy fish), 1758 nucleotides long. Lineage: Eukaryota; Metazoa; Chordata; Actinopteri; Ambassidae. The record is from Ensembl.